This 6571-nucleotide long non-coding RNA is filed under the name Gossypium barbadense (sea-island cotton). RNAcentral describes it as "long non-coding RNA (GBAR_LNC011784)". The record is from RNAcentral. Lineage: Eukaryota; Viridiplantae; Streptophyta; Magnoliopsida; Malvales; Malvaceae.
AGGCCAUGCUCCAAAACUAGAGUUAGGGCUUUCUAGUAAACAAAGUUUAAAAAAACGUUACCUAAAGUAAAACUGAAAAAUAUUGCCUAAGAUAAGAAAAAAGAAAAACCCAGUAAAACUGAAAAAUAUUGCCUAAGAUAAGAAAAAAGAAAAACCCAGCCUUAUGAGUUGUCGACUUCUAGAUAGUUCUUUGGAAAAAUAUCUGCAUCCCAAACGACUAGCUCUUGGAGAAACAAACAGUCAUAGAAAUCUAAAAAAAAAUUCUCCUACUCUCUCAUUUGCUCGAGAUGGUGUUGACUCAGUGGUGGCCUUCAUCUCCAUCCCCUAUCAAUUUCCGAAUCGGUGAGAUCUUGAGUAACACACUCAUGAACAGAGUAUGCAUUCACCCUCAUUUUUAGCCCUUCAGAUGCCAGAUUAUGUGCUGUUCUUUUUGCAUGCUGGAAUUUGCAUCCAUAAUAAUUCGCCUUCUGCUCUUGAAUAUCAUCAAUAUAAAGGCCGAUUAUCGAUUUAUCUUCUUUUUUUUUUGUGUUCCCUUUUUUUAUAACUGUCAGAAAGUCGCCUUCGAAAAUAACAUAUUUUUAUCCCCAGUUCUUUUCCCACCAUAACCGCCUGCAAACAUGCUAAGGCUUCUGCUGCAAAUCCUGAAGAAAUGUUGUCAUGGAUGACCAAUUUUGAAACCAAUACAUCACCUUUAAAGUUCUUAACUAUUACCCCUGAACAAGAUAUAUUUUUCCCCUUAUAUCGAAAUUGAUUUUGAGGAACUUACUUUCCGGCGCCUUCUAUGAAUCUGAAUCUAAGCAUUUGGCAUGGUGUUUUCUUUCCAUAUCUUGUAAUUCCUGAAAAUACUGUAUUACAAACUGCGCUGUUUCUGUUCCAGAUCUCUUAUGACCUCCGUGUACCCAUUGAUUCCUAUUCGCCCAGAUAGCCCAAAUGGCGCAGACAAAGAUGCAGCAUUCCUUCUCUUUACUGUGCAACAAUACCCAGGUAAACCACUCCAUAAAGUCCAUAUGCGAUAAUUCGAGUGACCAUACAUAAUUUAAUUUUUUCCACAUUUCCUUCGCAGCAGCACAGUUGCGAAAUAUAUGUUCCCUAGUUUCCAGCCCUUGCUUACAUCUUGGGCAGAUGGCGUUAUUUAUUAAUCUUUUGAUUCUUAAAUUUACCAGGGUAGGGAGGUAGUUGAGAAUGGUAUUCCAAGCUGUAAUACGUACCUUUGAGGGGAGAUUACAAUUCCACAGUUUCUUGUAACAUUUUGUAAUUACAGGCAAACUGUAACCAUUACUGUUGUAAUCAUUGCCUUGUAAUAAUAGUUUGUAACCACUGCGCACAGUAUAUUGGCCUGAUGCUUCUCCCCUCCAUAUCAAAAGAUCAUUAUGUGAACGCUGGGCCAAAGGGAUUUGCAAAAUCUUUGGAACAUCAACUUUCGCAAAGGUACUCCAAAUCAGCUCUGUUUUCCAUGCUCUGGUAUUACUGUCAAUAAAAUCUGCAACCAUUGUAAUGUUCUGCAUUCUGUCCUUUUUGUUAAUCAGUAGACCUGGCACAUUUGGGACCCAAACAUCUUCUUCUAUACGAAUGUCAUGUCUAUUCCCCACCCUCCAGCACAAUCCCAAUAGUAAGAGGCCCUUUGCUGCCCAUAUGCUUUUCCAGGUAUAGAAAGGUAAAUUACCUAAACCUAAAUUUAAAAAAUCAGUAUUCGAAUAAUAUUUAGCUUUUAACAUUCUAGCCAAAAGGGAAUUAGGAUCGUCAAUUAAUCUCCAGCCUUGUUUUGUGAGAAGGGCCAAAUUAAAUUUUGCUAAAUUGCGGAACUCUUUUAACUCGCAUAAUUUGCUCUAUGAACACCAGUGAAUACCUCGUUUCCCAUAACCUUUCUGCCACCAAAAGUUUGCAAUGAUUUGUUCCAUUUCUUCACAUGUUGAUUUCGGCAAAAGAAAACAUGCCAUUGUGUACGUGGGAAUUGCCUGUAAAACAGCUUUGAUGAACACUUCUUUUCCACCUUGCGAUAAUAAUCUUGUGCUCCAACUGUCUAUCUUUAACUUUAAGCGAUCCUUCAAAUGUUGGAAUGCCAAACGCUUCUUCCUUCCCACCAUAUUCGGUAGGACUAGGUAUUUCUCAAAAUUGUUUAACCUUUUAACUUCUAGCUGAUUCGAUAUGGUAGACCAGACAUUUUCAGUAGUAUUUAAGCUAAAAUACACAGUUGACUUACUAUAGUUAAUAAAUUGUCCAGAAUAGAUUUCGUAUUCCUUGAGCACUUUUUCAAACGUUGCAGUACCUUUGUCGGUCGCUUCUCCAAAUAAAACACAAUCAUAAGCAAAAAGGGGAUGGGAAAUUUAAGAUCUCCUUCUACUUGCCUUAAUCCCUUUCAAUACUCCUUCCUCUGUUGCAAGCCUUAAAAGUGUUGACAGCCCUUUCACUGCAUAUAAGAAAUAGAAAGGGACUUAAAGGGUCCUCUUUCCUUAGGCCUCUUCCUAGAGUAAAAACCAUUCCUGACACACCAUUUAAAACCACCGAAUACGAUACUAUGCUAAUACAAUGCAUUAUGCGCUCCAUCCACCUCACAUCAAAACCCAUUGUGAACAUCAUUUUUUCUAAAAACUCCCAUUCCACCCAAUCAUAUGCUUUACUCAUAUCAAUCUUAAGUGCCAUAAGACCUUUUUUCCCCACCCUUUUAUUUCUCAUAGUGUGAAGAAUUUCGUAGGCGAGAAGUACGUUGUCAGAAAUUAGUCUUCCCAGAACAAACGCACUUUGAGUAGAGUCAAUACAAAGAUCAAUAGCUUUUUGAAGUCUAUUUGCGAUAGAUUUUGAUAUGAUUUUAUAAAACACCAAGCAUAGACUAAUAGGUCUAAAAUUGGUGGGAUUUCUUGGGUGAGACAUUUUUGGAAGUAACACUAUAUUCGUAUGAUUCAACAGUUUUAAGGAUUUACCUUUAUUAAGUACUUCCAAGCAAAAAUUGCUGACUUCCCUCCCCACUAUGUGCCAGUAUUUUUGAAAGAAAAUUGCUGGGAAACCGUCUGGUCCGGAGGCUUUUGUUGGCCCGAUACUGUUGAUUGCUUCGACGACUUCUUCCUCUUUGUAUUCCUCUAUUAGUAGUUGAUUUAUGUCUGCUCCAAUACACCUUUCAACCCUCGAAAGAAAACAGUUUGUAUCGCCAACUCCACUUGAUUAGAAUAAUCCCAUGAAAUAAUCUCUUAUGAUGCUUUCCAUAUCUGUAUCCUCUGUUUUUAGAUCUCCUUCCAUCUUUUCCAGUCCCCGAAUCUUGUUUAUCCUAUGUCCUUGAGUUGCUUUGCUGUGGGAAAAAGCCGUAUUUUUAUCCCAUUGACGCAACCAAUUUGCUCUAGCCCUUUGUUCCCAAUACGAUUCUUCCUUCUCCAUCUCCCAAUUCAAUUCCAAUUUUACAUUUAUCAUCUCAGCUAAAUUAUCAUCAUCCCUAUUCAUACCUUCUAAUUCAGCCAAUCUUUUCCGUAAAGCCUUCGAUCUUUUAUCAUGCUCUCCUUUGAUCAUCUUCCCCCAUCUUUGUAGAUUAACUCGAAGAUAUUCUAAUUUUUCCAGCACUUCUCCUGACUUUUCAGUCCACCAUUUCUUGAUGACAUUUUCACAAGACGGUUCUAGUAUCCACCAAGAUUCAAAUUUAAACCUCUUCUUUCCAGCUGGAUAUUCGUUGAGCUCUGUUUGUAUAAAAAGUAGACAGUGAUCAGAAAAAGAGUGAGGAAGAUGGGUAAUCGAGAAAUCGUGAAACAGGUUUAACCAUUCACUAUUCGCCACACUCCUAUCAAGUCUUUCUCUAACAUUUGUGCUCUCAAAAUUUCCCCUUUCCCAAGUAAAAUUUUUCCUUUUGAAAUCCAUAUCAACCAAUUCACAGUCUGUCAGAGCUUUCCUAAAUUCCUCCAUUUGUCGUCCAUCUCUUGCUGCUCCCCCUUUUUUCUCAUGAGCGUACAUUAUUUUGUUAAAAUCACCCCCUACACACUACGAAAAAGUACAUGUGCCUCGUAAUCUUCGAAGGAGAUUCUAAGAUUCUUGUCUAUUUGCUUGUCGUGGGUUCCCAUAAAACCCAGUAAAUCUCUAUUUAAUUGAGUCAUCGUCUUCAUGAACCUCAACGUCAAUAUGAUUAGUUGAGUAACUACGAACUUGAAUUAGAAAAUUCCCAUUCCAAGCCAAGCUUAGACCUCCCCGUGAUCCAGAAGCUGAAACAUCCAGCCUAUUAUGGAACCCACAGCGCUUUCGAACACGUUCUAUUCUGUUGUGUUCCAACUUUGUCUCCAUUAAGAAGACCAUUUAGGGUUUAUAAAGCUUCAACAUGUGGUGAAGCCUCCUGAUAGCCCGGGGAUUCCCCAAUCCCCAGACAUUCCAGUAUAAGAGUUUCAUUGUUUCCGGUCGGCUUGCCAUUUGGCAGCCGCCGAUAUAAUUUGUGAAGGGUCACUAACAUCUGUUGAAGUAAAGCAUGAAAGCUCAGUUGUUGCAAAAUCUGCCGAACAUAUGCUGUCAAAUUUUGCCCUUUUUGUUUUAACAUCAUCCGAAAGGUAUGCUUCAAUAUUAUCUAAUUUCUCCUCAUUAAAUUUUCGCUUCCCCAUUAUCGUCCCAGCCAUGUUUGUAUCAAAAGAUUCUUUACUAGAAAAGUGCCUCCAGCUAUUUUUCUUUUGACUCAAUUGUUGGGCCUCAAUCAGUUCAAUUUGCCUGUUUGAUUCAGAAUUUUCGUUUGACCUAUUCCCCUCACGACAGUGAUCCAUACUAGAGUUUUCUUCCACUUCUCUCGACAUAUUAUGAGGAUAAGAACUUGUUUCAUUUUCCCUAAAUUUUUGCCGCAAAAUCCCUAUUUCCCUAAGAUUAGAGAACUUCUUUAAACCAACUUCUUUCGCCGUUCGAUGCAUCUAUUGCACAGAAUCUAUUAAAACAUCAUCAACUUUACCCGCUACCUCCUCACCGAUGUAGUAACAUUGUUUUAUUAUUUUCUUCUGCAACGAACCAAGCAGUAAGCUCUUCCUACCUAAUGCUGACGAUUCUGCCUUAAGUGCUACUGAGUAAGGAAGUUCAUCCUCCGCCUUACCGCGAUCCCCCUCCAAUAACAUUAGACAAUCUUUAAUCCCGUGACCCAUGUGACCACAUCCAAAGCAAAACGUUGGGAGACACUCAUAUUUGAAAGGAAACCAGACUUUUUCUUGGCCAUUUAGAGAGACAAAAAUCCCUUUUCUAAGCGGUUUUUGAACAUCUAGAUAACUCUAAUACGACAAAAAUCACCUUUGAUCUCAGAAUGAAUAAUUCCACCAAACGUGGACCCCACAACAUGCAUCAGAUCCUUUCUAUCACACUCCGGUAGGCAUGGGCCGACCUUUAGCCAAAACGGAGAAGAAACCAGACGAAUCUUGUUCCGCUCAACUGAUUUUUUUAAACGAUCAAAAAUAAUUAAUUGCUUGUGAAAAAACCAUGGCCGCCCGUUCAUGAUCUGCUCCAAGUCUUCCUCAUCUUCGAAUAUUAUCUUGAAUAGAUUUUGACCUGCAAUCAUAAUCUCGAACUUCUUUUUGGUUUUCCAGAUACUUCUCACUUGUGCUCUCAGGCUAUCCGGGUUGUAAUUUUUCCUCUUCCAAACAGAACAAAUCAGUGUUGGCUUUUCAGACGGAUCUACAACAGAGCUUUUUACUGAUAAAUGGAUCAACUCUUCUUCAAGAAAGGCUAUCUCCUUCCUGUCGUCCUUUGCCCCCAAGUCACUCCUCAACACCUUCCUGUCGUCCAUAACCCCGAAAGUCACCACUUCUCUUCUUUUCGACCCCAGAAAACACUAUUUCUUCAGGAGACCCAAGAGAGCACUCUUGACCUAAGCGGUGGCUAGCUGUAUUAAUAUAUAUUUUAUAGUGAAUUAAAAAUAUAUACAUAAAAUUAUGCACACCACACAGGAUAUUAGAAACUAGUAUUAUUAUUCUGAAAAAAAAACGAGAAACUAAUAUUAUUGAAGUGCUAGAAUAGCCUAAGUCCAUAUGAUAGUAGAUGGGCAGAGGCCAAGACAAGAGGUUUUAAACCCACUUCCCUAAAUAUCAAAAUAAAAUUCUGUACUGGAUCUAAAGCAGAAGUGGUAAAGGUCACCUUUCACUUAAGCCUCAGUCAUUAGUGUGUAGAUCUCUUUUACCUAUCGAUUCCCCAUUAAUAAAAGUUACAACAAAAGGAGGUAAAAGAAAACCAUUUAAUCGCAACAAAAAAAAAAAGAGCACAAGCUCCCUGAGUUGCAUACUAUUCAUGUGAGGUUUGGCCUCACCAACCUCAACAUCAGACCGGAUUUCAAACGUUGCAUAGUCAAGACAGUGUAUUUGAUUUUGCAUUGAUUUUAUCUGACGCAUACGGUUUCAUUAAUAAAUUGAUGUAAUUAUUAUUUUACAUAGAUUUAUCUCAGUUCACUUAAUUUUAGUCACAUCGAUUUAAACAUAGUGCAAUAAUGCAUAAAUAAUAUUAAAAUUAUUUUUUAAAAAUUUAUAUUUUGUAUCAUUAUAGUAUUAAAGAAUUUAAAUUUUUAUCAAAACAUUGUGAAUCAGCUACUACAUAAAUAUUUUAUUUGUGAAAUCUAUUUAACAUCAUUCCUUUGCUAUCUAUAAAU